UCAAAUAGAAGAGACAGAAGAGCAUCGUCAGUUCUACAUCGAAGACACCAUGAGGACUCUCAGCUUUACAGUGGGACUGCUGCUGCUGCUCACUGUUCACCACUGCACUGCCAUGCCUCGUGGACUAAAUGAAAUGUCACCUGGAUCAUGCUGCUUUAAACUCUUUCCCAGAAGAAUACCAAAGGCACACAUUAUCUCCAUCAUCAAAACUCACAACAGAUGCUCUAAAAAGGCGUUUGUGGUCAAUACUCCCAAUGGACUGAUAUGUGUGAGCGAGGCUCUGGACUGGGCUAGGACAGCUUUCAACAAGCAGCACGUCUCCGAGAAUCAGUGAAGAUCCUCACUAUCCAUGAAGAGCUCCACCAACUCCACCUCCAGCUAUGAUAGAGCUCCGCCUGACAUUGGCAACCUACAUAAUUACAUCAAUUGACUAGUGCUGUGUCAUUUUCAUGCAACUGUGAGUGUUAACCAUUUAAUGAUUAAUCCCAUAGACCCUUGCUUUGCCUGACUUUUAAUCAUUAAAGUUUCACUUGUUAAAACAGA
This is a long non-coding RNA of Seriola dumerili (greater amberjack), 543 nucleotides long. RefSeq lists it as uncharacterized. Lineage: Eukaryota; Metazoa; Chordata; Actinopteri; Carangiformes; Carangidae. The record is from RefSeq and is a predicted model, not a curated record. The transcript has 3 exons.